RNAcentral lists this ribosomal RNA (425 nucleotides) under uncultured bacterium. RNAcentral's name for it is "bacterial SSU rRNA". It matches the Rfam family "Bacterial small subunit ribosomal RNA", at positions 354 to 796 of the family's 1533-position model. The record is from RNAcentral.
GUGGGGAAUCUUGCGCAAUGGGGGCAACCCUGACGCAGCCAUGCCGCGUGAAUGAUGAAGGCCUUAGGGUUGUAAAGUUCUUUUGCCCGUGACGAUGAUGACGGUAACGGGAGAAUAAGCUCCGGCUAACUUCGUGCCAGCAGCCGCGGUAAUACGAAGGGGGCUAGCGUUGUUCGGAAUUACUGGGCGUAAAGCGCGCGCAGGCGGUUUGGUAAGUUAGGGGUGAAAUCCCCGGGCUCAACCCGGGAAUGGCCUUUAAGACUGCCAGGCUAGAGGACGAGAGAGGUGAGUGGAAUUCCCAGUGUAGAGGUGAAAUUCGUAGAUAUUGGGAAGAACACCGGUGGCGAAGGCGGCUCACUGGCUCGUUUCUGACGCUGAGGCGCGAAAGCGUGGGGAGCAAACAGGAUUAGAAACCCCAGUAGUCC